Molecule: ribosomal RNA, 1082 nt
Filed under: Staphylococcus aureus
Lineage: Bacteria; Bacillati; Bacillota; Bacilli; Caryophanales; Staphylococcaceae
Description: partial 23S ribosomal RNA
Rfam family: Bacterial large subunit ribosomal RNA
Source: RNAcentral
AACCUGAAACCGUGUGCUUACAAGUAGUCAGAGCCCGUUAAUGGGUGAUGGCGUGCCUUUUGUAGAAUGAACCGGCGAGUUACGAUUUGAUGCAAGGUUAAGCAGUAAAUGUGGAGCCGUAGCGAAAGCGAGUCUGAAUAGGGCGUUUAGUAUUUGGUCGUAGACCCGAAACCAGGUGAUCUACCCUUGGUCAGGUUGAAGUUCAGGUAACACUGAAUGGAGGACCGAACCGACUUACGUUGAAAAGUGAGCGGAUGAACUGAGGGUAGCGGAGAAAUUCCAAUCGAACCUGGAGAUAGCUGGUUCUCUCCGAAAUAGCUUUAGGGCUAGCCUCAAGUGAUGAUUAUUGGAGGUAGAGCACUGUUUGGACGAGGGGCCCCUCUCGGGUUACCGAAUUCAGACAAACUCCGAAUGCCAAUUAAUUUAACUUGGGAGUCAGAACAUGGGUGAUAAGGUCCGUGUUCGAAAGGGAAACAGCCCAGACCACCAGCUAAGGUCCCAAAAUAUAUGUUAAGUGGAAAAGGAUGUGGCGUUGCCCAGACAACUAGGAUGUUGGCUUAGAAGCAGCCAUCAUUUAAAGAGUGCGUAAUAGCUCACUAGUCGAGUGACACUGCGCCGAAAAUGUACCGGGGCUAAACAUAUUACCGAAGCUGUGGAUUGUCCUUUGGACAAUGGUAGGAGAGCGUUCUAAGGGCGUUGAAGCAUGAUCGUAAGGACAUGUGGAGCGCUUAGAAGUGAGAAUGCCGGUGUGAGUAGCGAAAGACGGGUGAGAAUCCCGUCCACCGAUUGACUAAGGUUUCCAGAGGAAGGCUCGUCCGCUCUGGGUUAGUCGGGUCCUAAGCUGAGGCCGACAGGCGUAGGCGAUGGAUAACAGGUUGAUAUUCCUGUACCACCUAUAAUCGUUUUAAUCGAUGGGGGGACGCAGUAGGAUAGGCGAAGCGUGCGAUUGGAUUGCACGUCUAAGCAGUAAGGCUGAGUAUUAGGCAAAUCCGGUACUCGUUAAGGCUGAGCUGUGAUGGGGAGAAGACAUUGUGUCUUCGAGUCGUUGAUUUCACACUGCCGAGAAAAGCCUCUAGAUAGAA